AAACGGCUGGGGCCUCACUCACGGCAUAUGGAACUAACCACGCCCCUAACUAAGAAGGCACACCUUAGUUGCAGUUAGCACACAAUUAAAGCAACUCUCCAAGUUUUACCUUAAAGUUCAAAAUUGCUAGGAGUUGAAACUACUAGAAAUAUAUUUACAUGCAAGAGUCAAAGAAACUUUGAACUAUUUAUGGCCUUUAAUAAUUAAGUAAGGUAUACUCCUGUGAUCAAGACUUGGAGCAUAUUUGUUUCUCUCUGCCUGGUUCCUCUAGAAAUUGGAAACUAUCAGAACAGAGACCAACUCCGUUUCCCGAUCCCUUUGCAAUCUGCAUUGAACCAUGAGUCAAGUUCUUGAUAAAGGAGUGAAAAUGGAUGACAUUUAAGGCACAUCUGAAGAUGGGGAAACCACAGCACAGAAUAAGGCUGGGCCCUUGAAUCAAUAAAUGAAGGAGAACUACUCAAGAGAACAAAACCACCAGCAAUAUCCACCUGUAUUUGUCUUUUCAUAAUGUGUGACACAUGUGCUCAUGGAUUAUUGUCCGAAGCAAGACAUGUGACCAAGCCUAACAUCAACUGGGUGAAGAGCUAUAUGUUCCUUUCUCAAGAGGCACUACAAGUGACAUGCCACUGGGCAGGAUUAUCCUUUCUACUCUCCUACUUUCUGAACUACUUUUCUCCCUCUGUAAGUCUUAAAGAAGUUCAAUGAGCUAUAAGUGAACUCAGGUAGACAACUCAACAAAAUCAAGAAGACAAUACAUGAACAAAAUGAUACUUUGAAUAAAUAAAUAUAAACCAUAAAAAACUUGAAUUAUUCAGUUCAGUCAUAAUACAUGACUUUAAACUUCAAAACAGUUUGUUAUAGUACAGCCAAAAUCAUUAAAAUUGGUCAGCUAAGAAGUAUAUAUUUUUUCUAGUUCUCUAAUGGAUAGCUGUACAUUAUAUUCACAACUUACAAAAUCUGUCCAGCAAGAUAACAGAUUAGAAGACACUUAACAUUGCUUCCCCCACAAAGGUAUAAGCAGUAACUAUUCAAAGACAAUAAAACUACCCUGAAGUUACUAGAACUUGAGAGAGAAGCAGAGGAACUGAUGGAGCCUGCAGAAAUGAGAGAAGCUGUGACUGAUAAAUGACGAUUUUAGAAUCUGCCACCCACUACCCCAAGCCACAUAACAGCUCACAGAAAAUUUCUAUACAUUUAGGAUGUCUGAGUUGGAAGAAAUUCGAAGUUGAAAAUAAACAUUCAAUUUCCCUAUCAGUUGAGGAGGCUUCAUGGGAAGUCUACAUGGGUCUCAUCCCAUGGAAAACACUGAGAGUUCCAGGAGGGCUGAAUGACCUGAGUGAACUGAAGAUAAAAUCAGGAGAGCUGAUUGCAGCAACUGUCCUGUGGAUCUUGGUAGCUGCUCUGCAUUCUGCUCAGCAGGAAUGCCAUGCUGAGGAGACUGUCAAGUCUCAUAGCACUGCAGAGGUUAUGAGCCCUGGAAAUGCCUGAGUCCUUUUUUGUGUUUAUGUGGCACCUUCCCCUGACCCAGAAGCAGCUGAAAUAUUUAGUAAGUUCUGGUGCUCGCAAUAAGUCUUUUCCAAAUAACAAACAAUGGCAGAGCAGUGAUUUCACUCCAGUGCAGCAUUUAAAUUCUGAUACACACUAAGUCCUCCCCACUCAGGAGUCAAAAGCUGGACAGCAAUUAAGUUCUGAUAUUAAGUUGUAAUGAUCUAAGACCACAAAAAACACCUGCAAAAACAGAAAGAGGUGACCAUCUCCUCAAAUUCACAGGCAUCAAUAUAAAGAUAAAAGGAUUAAUAAAAAUCAGGAAAAUAUGACACCAACAAAAGAAAUAAACAAAGCUCUAUAAUGGACACAGAAGAACUGAUCUAUAAAAUGUCUGAAUUCCAAAUUCAGAAUAAUCUACUUUAAAAUUUUCAGGGAAUCACAAUAAAAUAUAAAUAGAAAAUUAACUAAAAUUUGGAAAACAAUCCAUAAAUACAAUGAGAUAUUUGACAAAUAAAGAAACAUUUUUAAAGCCCAAAUAAAUCCUAGAAAUAAAGAAUAUAAUAACUGAACUGAAAAAACUCAAUAGAAAGCUUUUACAGUAGACAUAAUCAGAGGAAACAGCUUGAAGACGUAUGAAAUUAAUCAGAGGAGCAAAAAGAAAAAAGAAAAAAUAUGGUGAAGAAGACCUUCAGGAAUUGUGGGACACUAUUUAAAGUAAACUAACCUUCACAUAAUAGGAGUUUCCGAAUGAGAAAAGGGAGAAUAGACCUAGAACACAUAUUUAAGGAAAUCAUAGCUAAAAACCUCCUAAAUCUACAUGUAGAAAACAACAUCCACUUACAAGAAACAUAGAAGUUACUAAUCAAAUUAACUCAAAAGGAAUUCCCCAACACCCUUCAAAUUAUGAUAAAAAAAAUCAAAGACAAAGAAAGAAUACUGAAAAAAAGAAGAGAAAAGAGACAUAUCACAUUAAUCAGGGCCCUAAUACAGCUUUCAUCAGAUUCUCAGCAAAAACCCUGCAGGAAAGGAGAAAAUGAUAUGAUAUAUUCAAAGUAGUGAAGGAGAAUAAAAACCUGCCAACCAAGAAUAUUGUACCAAGCAAAGGUAUUCUUCAAACAUAAAGAAAAGAUAAAGUCUGCAGAUAAACCAAAGCUGAGGGGAUUCAUCAACACUAGACCUACUAAAAUGCUAAAGGAAGUUUUUUAAUCUGAAAGAAAAGGAUGCUAAUAUGUAAAAAGAAAACAUCUUAAGGUAUACAACUCAUUGGUCAUAGUAAGUAAACAAAUUCAGGGCACUCAAAAACUAAUUGGGCCAGGUGUGGUGGCUCAUGCCUGUAAUCCCAACACUUUGGGAGAUUGAGGUGGGCGUAUCACCUGAGGUAAGGAGUUCAAGACCAGCCUGGCCAACAUCGUGAAACCCCAUCUCUACUAAAAAUACAAAAAUUAGCUGGGCAUGGUGGCAUGCACCUAUGGUCCCAGCUACUUGGAGGCUGAGACACGAGAAUCGCUUGAACCCAAGAGGCGGAGGUUACAGUGAGCUGAGAUCAUGCCACUGCACUCUACCCUAGGUGAAUGAGCGAGACUCUGCCCCCUCCCCUCCAAAAAAAAAUAAGAAACUGUAAGUGUAUAUAAAUCACUUACAUCUUUUUUUCUUUUCUUUUUUUUUUUUUUUGAGACAGCAUCUCACUCUAUCACCCAGGUCAGAGUGUAGUGGUGUGAUCUCAGCUCACUGUAACCUUUGCUUCCCAGGCUCAAAUGAAUUACCCACAUCAGCCUCCCAAGUAGCUGGAACCAUAGGUGUCACUUACAUCUUUAUAUAAUAUCGCUUUCAUCUUUUAGUAUCUAAAAGAAAAAAAAUUAAUGAUAAUAACAACAAUUGUUUAAGAGAAAGAACAUGUAAAAAGAAGUAAAAUUUACAUAUCAAAAUCCAAAAUUUGGAAAAAGACUGGUUUAAAAUGUAAAAACUUAUGAUAAAUACACUAAAAAUAAAAAGUGCUGAACCAAAGCAUACUAGAGAGAAUCACUUUACCACAAAAAAGACAGAAAAAUGAAAGAAAGAUAGUUUGCUGAGAACGAUGGUUUCCAGCUUCAUCCAUGUCCCUACAAAGGACAUGAACUCAUCAUUUUUUAAGGCUGCAUAGUAUUCCACACACAUCAGGGCCUGUUGUGGGGUGGGGGGAGGGGGGAGGGAUAGAAUUAGGAGAUAUACCUAAUGUUAAAUGACGAGUUAAUGGGUGCAGCACACCAACAUGGCACAUGUAUACAUAUGUAACAGACCUGCACAUUGUGCACAUGUACCCUAAAACUUAAAGCAUAAUAAAAAAAAGAAAGACUCUCCAAAACAGUUUUAAAAAGUGACAAAAUGACAGUAAAGUCUUUACCUAGAAAUAAUAACCUUGAAUAUAAAUGAAUUCACUGAUUAAAAUACAUAGGGUUGUUUAAUGGAUUAAGCACACACACAACACACACACAGACAUACAAAGCACCCCCACACCCACACCAUAUGCUGCCUACAGAAACUCACUCCAUUUAUGAAGAUACAAAUGGACUGAAAGUGAAGAAAAGAAAAAACACAUUCUACACAAAUGUGCACCCCAUAAAAAGCAGGAAUAGCUAUACUUACAUAAAUAACCUUCAAGUCAAGUACUGUAAAAUAAAUACAAAGAAGAUUAUUAUGUAAUGACAAAGCUGUUAUAACAUUUGUACAUAUACAUGCACUCAGCACUGAAGCACCUAAAUAUAUAAAGCGAAUACUAACCUAGAGGAAGAGAUUGACAGCAGGACAAUAAUGGUGGAAAACUUUAUCACUCCCCUUUUCAGCAAUGGAUGGAUGAUCCAGAGAGAAAAAUCAACAAAGAAACAUCAGAGUUCAACUGCACUGUAGAUAAAAUGAACCUAACAGAUAUUUACAAAACAUUCUAUCCAACAACUACAAAAUACACUUUCUUUUCAAGUGCACAUGGAACAGUUUUUAGAAUAGACUAUGCUGAGUCAUAACACAAGUCUUACAAAAUUUUCAAAAAUAAAAAUCACAUCAAGUACUUUUUCUAAACACAAUGAAAUAAUACCAGAAAUCAAUAAAACUAGAAAUCAAUAACAGAAGGAAUGGUGGAAGCUUUACAAAUACAUGGAAAUUAAACAGCACGCUCUUGUAUCCCCAUUAAGAAAAGAAAUUUCUGAAAAUUUCUGGAGAUAGAAAAUGAAAGCCUAUGGGAUAUAGCAGAAGUAUGUCAAAGAGGAAACACUAGAGCAAUAAAUUCCUACAUCAAAAAAGUAAAAAGAUAUCCAAUUAAAAACCAUCUGGUGCACUUCAAGGAACUAGAAAAUUUCUAAAAAGCCAAAUGCAAAAUUAGUAGAAGAAAAGAAAUAACAAAGAUCACAGCAGAAACAAAAAAAAAACAGAGAUUUUAAAACAAUACAAAAAAAUCCAUCAAAGAAAAACAAUUUGUUUGAAAAUCAAAAGAAAUUAGCUACACUAAGAACAAAAGAGAAAAGAGUCAAAUAACUAAAAUCAGAGAAGAAAAAAGAUAUAUUACACAGAAUUUGUCAACAGAAAUACAAAGAUCAUAAGAGAUUUUAUGAACAACUAUAAAUCAAGAAAUUUGAAAGCUAGAAAAAAUGAAUCCAGACUGAAUUAUGAAGAAAUAGAAAACCUGAACAAAUAAAGAGUAACAAGAUUGAAUCAGUAAUAAAAAAAAAUUCUCCCAUCAAAGAGAAGCCUAGGAUCUGACAAAUUCACUGCUGAAUUCUACCAAACUAUCAAAUAACUAAUACUAAUUCUUCUAAAACUACUAUGUUAAAUUGAAGAAGAAGGAAUAUGUCUAACUCAGGCUAUCAGGCAAGCAUUACCUUGACACCAAAACCAGAUAAUGACACAACAAUAAAAGAAAACUACAGGUUAGUAUCUCUGAAACAUAGAGGCAAAAAUCCUGAGCAAAAUGCUAGCAAACUGAAUCCAUCAACACAUUAAAAGAUCACUUACUAUGAUCAAGUGUGAUUCAUCAUAGGAAUUUGAGGAUGAUGUGUUAGGCUCUUCUUGCGUUGCUACAAACCAACACCUGAGACUGCGUAAUUUAUUUUUUAAAAAAGAUUUAAUUGGCCCUACAGGGUGUAUAAGCCUGGUUCCAACAUCUGCUCAGCUUCUGGGGAAGCCUCAGGGAAUAUUUACUCAUGGUGGUAGACGAAGUGGGAACAGACACAUCACAUGGUGAAAGCAAGAACAAGAGAGUGAGUGGGAGGUGCCACACACUUGGAAACAACCAAAUCUCAUGAGAACUCAUUCACAAUUACAAGGAUAGCACCAGUCAAUGAGGAAUCCACAUCUAUGAUCUAAUCACCUUUCACCAGGCCCCACCUCCAACAUUAGGAAUUACAUUUUAAUAUGAGAUUGGGGGGACAAAUAUCCAACCUAUAUCAGAUGGUUUAUAAUAUGCAAAUCAAUAAAUGUGGUACGUUAACACAAUCAGGUACAAAAAACAUAUGACCAUUACAAUAGAUGCAGAAAUAGCAUUUCAUAAAUUCAACAUCCCAUCAUGAUAAAAACUUUCAAUCAAUUAGGUAUAGCAGGAAUAUAACUCAACCUAAUAAAGACAUGCAAAUGGCCAGUAGAUAUUUGACAAAUAAUGAUUAGCAUCACCAAUCAUCAUGGAAAUACAAAUCAAGACCACAGCGAGAUAUUACCUCAUACCUGUUAGAAUGGCUAUUAUCAAAAAGACAAAAAAUAACAAAUGCUGGUGAGGAUGAAGAAAAAGGGGAACACUCAUACACUGUUAGUGGGAAUGUAAAUUAGUACAGACAUGGAAAACAGUAUGAAGGUUUCUCAAAAAAUUAAAAAUAAAAUUAUUAAAUGAUUUAGCAGUCUCACUGUGAGGUAUAUAUUCAGAGAAAUAAAAUGAGAAGUCAAUGAGAUAUCUGCAUUUCUAUGUUGUUUAUUGCAG
This 6424-nucleotide long non-coding RNA is filed under the name Homo sapiens (human). RNAcentral's name for it is "non-protein coding LINC01515:31". The record is from RNAcentral. Lineage: Eukaryota; Metazoa; Chordata; Mammalia; Primates; Hominidae.